This 435-nucleotide ribosomal RNA is filed under the name Bletilla ochracea. RNAcentral's name for it is "eukaryotic LSU rRNA". The stretch from base 282 to 435 matches the Rfam family "Eukaryotic large subunit ribosomal RNA", at positions 1 to 151 of the family's 3401-position model. Lineage: Eukaryota; Viridiplantae; Streptophyta; Magnoliopsida; Asparagales; Orchidaceae. The record is from RNAcentral.
GGGCACGUCUGCCUGGGCGUCAAGCGUUGCGUCGCUCCGUGCCGACUCCGUCCCACAAACGCGUGCGCCGGCGUCGGCUCGGACGUGAAGAGUGGCUCGUCGUGCCCAUCGGUGCGGCGGGCUCAAGAGCGGGUUAUCGUCUCGUCGGCCGGCAACAACAAGGGGUGGAUGAAAGCUGUGAGCAGAAAGCCUGCGUUGUUUCUUGCUCGGCCCGAGGAAAGAUUACAUAUUUCAAGGUGAUCCCAGCCCAUGCGCCGAUCCACAGGCGGCGGCUUGGAAUGCGACCCCAGGAUGGGCGAGGCCACCCGCCGAGUUUAAGCAUAUCAAUAAGCGGAGGAGAAGAAACUUACGAGGAUUCCCCUAGUAACGGCGAGCGAACCGGGAUAUGCCCAGCAUGGGAAUCGGGCUGCCAUGCAGCAGCUCGAAUUGUAGUCU